UGACAACGAGUUAAGCGACGACCAUCACCACCAUCCACCACCGCCGACUAAGGCCUUGAGGAGCGCAUCCGUCGGGCGGCGACGACCACGGCGGUCGGGGGGCUUCUAGCCACACUUCUUGGCGGAGGUGGAGGAGGCGAAGGCCCAGGUGACGCCGAAGGGGUCGACGAGGGUGGCGCCCAGCCCGCAGCCGUCCUCGGUUACCUCCCCCUGCAGCGCCGCACCGGCGGUCGCCGCCUGCGCCGCGGCAGCGUUCACGUCGUCGGUCUCCAGGCGCAGAACCAGCCCACUAGCGGCGGCGCCUUCCUUGCCCCUGCAACAAACAACAAGCACCAAAAGUGUGAGACUUUGAGCAGGGAACAGAGUUUUAAUGUCCAUUUAUUUGCUCGGUGUUAAGUAAAUAGCAAAACCUCGUACUCCAGAAUACUAGUACUAUGUAACCGAGCAAUAACUGUUUCACAUUUUUCUCCAAAUGAAAUAUAAAAUAAAAGUAUUAAACACAGAUUUCUUUGGAGAGAUGCCACUGCAAUGAGUAGAUCUAUUUUUAUUUUUUUUGAAAAGGUGAGUAGAUCUAUUCUUCUCUAAAAAAUUAUGGCAAUAUCUGAGUUCAAAAACAGUAGCAAACUCAUUUCCUGUGUGCCUUCGCAGUUUCCAAAGUAGACAAAGUACAGAUGAACUGCACGAGGCCAAAAGAGCACCAAAAAGAGUGCAGACAAACAAAGUAGGACAAGGGAGAAAACAAAAAACAAAACAGGGUUCUAUUUCCAUGAUGUUCCACUUCCACACCUUCAGAUCUACAUUAAUAAAUGCUAACAGAAUCACAUGUGGAUGUUGACGUACCGAAAAGAUCUAUGUAAGCGGCCCCAAAAAAACCCCAAGAAACCAGUGCAGAGCAGCAGUGAAGCUGAAGAAUGGUAGUUCCAAGCUAAAACUAACUGGAUCUAAAAUUCCUGACAAGUGCCAAACUGAUUCUCACAAUACUAAAGCAGAUGUUCACAGAUCUACGAACUUCAACGCAAAAUAUGUGACAAGAAACGAAAUAGCAGUGCAUCUACCAUGUAUUACAUGCCAAGAACAACAAAAAAGAAUGGGAACUAGGAAGGAAAGGAGCAGAAAGGGUUUAGCGAGGGUUUCCGGGAGCUUACACGGCGGGGACGUCGUCGCCGGCCUGGUCACAGACGAGCAGGGUCGCCGCGCCGACCUUCAGCUCGGCGCAGAGCAGGGCCGCCGCCUCCCCGUCACCCUUGCGCUUCGGGUGGGUGGAGCGGGACACCUCCUCCGCGGCGAAAGCGGCCUUGUAGAAGGCCACCGCCUCCUCGGCGCGCCCUGCCGGAACCGUCACCUGCACCUUCAGCCCGGAGAACACCGCCGGCGCCGGCACGGCCGCCGGGGCGGCGAGCACCUCAGAGCCGUUGGUCGCCACCUCCGCCAUUGCUCAGGGAAGAUUUGGCUCUCCUUUACUGUUGUGCGUUCCUUUCUCCUUGGGAGCACAGCAGAGUGGG
Molecule: long non-coding RNA, 1502 nt
Filed under: Setaria viridis
Lineage: Eukaryota; Viridiplantae; Streptophyta; Magnoliopsida; Poales; Poaceae
Description: long non-coding RNA (SVIR_LNC003337)
Source: RNAcentral